This is a long non-coding RNA of Herpailurus yagouaroundi (jaguarundi), 570 nucleotides long. RefSeq lists it as uncharacterized. The record is from RefSeq and is a predicted model, not a curated record. The transcript has 2 exons. NCBI's taxonomy places the organism in Eukaryota, Metazoa, Chordata, Mammalia, Carnivora, Felidae.
AGGCAGCCCCGUUUCUGGCUGGGGCUGUGGGGCACUUGGGACAUGUGCGGGCUGCGUUCCUUGGGAAGCAGAUUCUCAGACGGGGGAGGCUAGUGCGUGGGAAUCUUGUGACAGCAUGCUCGUGGAGCCAAGGCCUGUCGAGAGGAAGGGAAGCACGCAGAUUUGGGCAGAGGGAGAAUCGGGCUGCAGUGUAGCGUCAGGGAAGGCUGCACUGACCCCAAGGGGAGCUCUGGAGGUGGGAUGGCCCUUCACAAUUGUCCCAAAUUGGGACUCAACUCUGUUAAACCCUCAUGUUAACCAGUCAUUUGAUGUUGGCUGCCCUGGGAGGAGGGCCUGACCGUGGGCAAGGCAGCUCUCUUCAGAGGUCGUUCCAAAGACAGUUGAAGGUAUCAGCUGGGAGAUGCCCCUCAGUCCUGAAGAGAGUUUGAACAGAUGCAGAGGUCUUUGGGGCCUUAGCACCCCCAAGGAAGAAGCACAGAUCUGUGCAAAACCCAACUAUCCCCGGAAAUGACUCUUGGUGCCUUGCAGUUUCAAAAUCUACUGAUCAAACUGCAUGGCCUUUACAUUCCA